GAAAUGCGAUAAGUAAUGUGAAUUGCAGAAUUCAGUGAAUCAUCGAAUCUUUGAACGCACCUUGCGCCCUUUGGUAUUCCGAAGGGCAUGCCUGUUUGAGUGUCAUUAAAUUCUCAACCUUGUUCGCUUUUAUUAGCUUGAGCAAGGCUUGGAUGUGAGGGCUUGCUGGCUUCCUUCAGUGGAUGGUCUGCUCCCUUUAAAUGUAUUAGUGGGAUCUCUUGUGGACCGUCACUUGGUGUGAUAAUUAUCUAUGCCAUUUGACUUUGAAGCAAAUCUUAUGGGAAUCCGCUUAUAACCGUCUCGCAAGGGACAACUCUUGACAUUUUGACCUCAAAUCAGGUAGGACUACCCGCUGAACUUAA
This 362-nucleotide unclassified non-coding RNA is filed under the name uncultured Agaricales. RNAcentral's name for it is "sequence contains ITS1". The stretch from base 1 to 105 matches the Rfam family "5.8S ribosomal RNA", at positions 50 to 154 of the family's 154-position model. The record is from RNAcentral. Lineage: Eukaryota; Fungi; Basidiomycota; Agaricomycetes; Agaricales.